GGAGUUAUGCCUGAAGCAAAGGGUCACUUUGAUAGAGUGAAACAUGAGGGUUAAAGCCCCUCUAACUCCU
Molecule: transfer RNA, 70 nt
Filed under: Pseudetroplus maculatus (orange chromide)
Lineage: Eukaryota; Metazoa; Chordata; Actinopteri; Cichliformes; Cichlidae
Description: tRNA-Ile
Rfam family: tRNA
About the family: Transfer RNA (tRNA) molecules are approximately 80 nucleotides in length. Their secondary structure includes four short double-helical elements and three loops (D, anti-codon, and T loops).
Source: RNAcentral